UUUGCUAAAAUAAAGCAUCAAUGGGGAUUGAAGAAGAGGAUGACAAAGUUGGAACCAACAAGUACCCUGAGAGGAUUCCCCUUGGAACAUCUGCUUCUGCAAUGCACGAUCGAGACUACGUGGAGCCACCACCAGCACCUCUGUAUGAGCAUGGUGAACUAGUCUCAUGGUCUUUUUAUAGGGCUGGCAUUGCAGAAUUUAUAGCCACUUUCUUGUUCUUGUAUGUUUCUGUUUUGACUGUUAUGGGAGUCUCGAAUGCACCUGAUAAAUGUGCUUCUGUGGGGAUUCAAGGCAUUGCAUGGGCUUUCGGGGGUAUGAUCUUUGCACUUGUCUACUGCACUGCUGGUAUUUCAGGUAAUGUCUUUAACAUCGGAUUUGACAUGUAAUUGUUGGUGUGUGCAUUUUUUUGUUCUUUAGAUUUCAUCCAAUUGAACAACUAGACAGAUAAAAAGAUAAUUAAAUUAAACAAAUGGGGGUGGGAGGACUCAAACCCGAGACCCCUGACUAAACCAAGCUCUGAAACGUUAAGUAACUAGUCCAUCUAAAAGUUUAAGGUAUUGGAGAAAGGCCCCAAACAAGGUCUAAUGACAUUAAAAUUUCUCAAAAAUGAAAGGUUUUCAGUCUUUGAAAAUUAAUUGAGGCCUUGUGUUGUUUAAUUGUAAUAAACAGGAGGACAUAUCAACCCUGCUGUGACCUUUGGUUUAUUUCUGGGAAGGAAGCUUUCGUUGACCAGGGCAUUGUUCUACAUAGUGAUGCAGUGCCUUGGUGCUAUCUGUGGUGCUGGUGUUAUAAAGGGCUUUCAAGGAUCCUCAAAAUUUGAGCUCAAUGGUGGGGGAGCUAAUGCUGUGAAUCAUGGCUACACAAAGGGUGAUGGUCUUGGUGCUGAGAUUGUUGGCACCUUUGUCCUUGUUUACACUGUGUUUUCCGCGACUGAUGCUAAGGGAAGUGCCAGAGACUCAACUGUCCCUGUAUGUGUUCUUGUUCAGAUUAAUCCUUGUUUUAAAUAAUAUUCCAGCCUUUUUUUAUUCGACUUAUGCUACAGAAAGUGAAUUGAAGGACUUCAGUAUAGACGUGCAAUUGUAGUCAGAUGUUUUUAUAUACAUUUCACAAAUUGCAGACAUAAUAUUUCAGUUAAAUGGAGCUUAUUUUGCAUUAGGCCGUGUCUUAUGAAAAUUAUUUGACAACUGUGCCUGCAGAUUUUGGCCCCUCUUCCCAUUGGCUUCGCGGUGUUCUGUGUUCAUUUAGCCACCAUCCCCAUUACAGGGACCGGAAUCAACCCUGCUAGAAGUCUUGGAGCUGCCAUAAUUUACAACAAAAGUCACGCUUGGGACGAUCAUGUGAGUUUUUUUUUCUGACAACAAUCAAACAAUCCAGGACUUAUGAAUAAUAUAUGCUGUACCGUAUUAAUAAAUUCUCUCUUGUAUCAGUGGAUUUUCUGGGUCGGGCCAUUCAUCGGUGCCUCACUUGCUGCUGCAUACCACCUGGUUGUCAUCAGGGCCUUUCCUUUCAAGAGCAAAUCUUAAAUUUCAGUCUGCAUGUACCAGAACUAUUUGUCAUCCCUUUUCGAUCUCAGUCUUUCAUUUUAGUCUAUUGUAAUUGUCACUGUCAUGUGAAUUCGUCGGUUUCAGCUAUUAAAGUAUCCAUGCACAUCAUUGUUUUAUGCUGUAUUUAAGCUUGAGUUUGCAUCUGAAGAAGAUAUUCUUUUUUUAUUGUUUGAUUCAUAAUAGCAACAUGUUUCACAUCUCCACAAAAUUAUAUAUACCUUAUUCUGGAGACAAGAUAUUAAUAAUCAGAUUUCGAGAUAAGAGUAACAUGUUCCAGAUCUCCAUAUCACAAUUUAUGCUGUCAUUACACAGUACAGAACUUUGGUUCAAUUAAGUAAAAUUUGGUUCAGAGCUUGAGGAAAUACAGAACUUAUAUUGAGGUACAUUACACAGUACUUGAAUUGAAAAAGAUUAGAUCAACUUAAUUUUUCUUUUUAAAUUUAUUAUAAUGGCAAUCAAGCAGGCUAUAAUGGUGACAAUCUGUGAUGAUAAACACAACACAUAAAGAAUAAAGUAUAAACAAACUUAUCGUAGAGCCUGUCGCAGACCACCAUUGAGCCACUCCCUCCAAAAAACCAAUGAUUUAUUUCCAUUUUAAAUAAUUUAAUGAUCUGGCUUAAACUCAAUUUUUACCUAUAAAUUAGGAUGUUUCAAGCCUUCUCUGUUAUAACCACUCACAAAACUUCCUCUGUUAAGUUUUGCGUAAAAACAACAAUGGAAGGUAGAGAAGAGGAUGUGAAAGUGGGAGCUAACAAGUACUCAGAGAGGCAACCACUAGGUACAUCUGCACAAACAGAUAAGGACUAUAAGGAGCCACCACCAGCACCUUUGUUUGAGCCUGGUGAACUCACUUCAUGGUCUUUCUAUCGGGCUGGCAUUGCGGAGUUUAUAGCCACUUUCUUGUUUUUGUAUGUCACCGUUUUGACUGUUAUGGGUGUUUCCAAUGCACCUAAUAAAUGUGCUUCUGUGGGUAUUCAAGG
RNAcentral lists this long non-coding RNA (2524 nucleotides) under Daucus carota (carrot). RNAcentral's name for it is "long non-coding RNA (DCAR_LNC000026)". Lineage: Eukaryota; Viridiplantae; Streptophyta; Magnoliopsida; Apiales; Apiaceae. The record is from RNAcentral.